RNAcentral lists this ribosomal RNA (253 nucleotides) under uncultured bacterium. Its description in RNAcentral is "partial 16S ribosomal RNA". It matches the Rfam family "Bacterial small subunit ribosomal RNA", at positions 524 to 776 of the family's 1533-position model. The record is from RNAcentral.
UACGAAGGGGGCUAGCGUUGCUCGGAAUCACUGGGCGUAAAGCGCACGUAGGCGGAUCUUUAAGUCAGGGGUGAAAUCCUGGAGCUCAACUCCAGAACUGCCUUUGAUACUGAGGAUCUCGAGUCCGGGAGAGGUGAGUGGAACUGCGAGUGUAGAGGUGAAAUUCGUAGAUAUUCGCAAGAACACCAGUGGCGAAGGCGGCUCACUGGCUCGGUACUGACGCUGAGGUGCGAAAGCGUGGGGAGCAAACAGG